AGGCUGCGCUGGGCCCCUCCCUCUGUCCGGCAGCUGCUGGGAGCGGGGUCUCAGCUUGGGGCCAUUGGUUUGGGCCAGGGCAGGUUUAGUGUCAGCGAGAUGCCAGCAGCCAUGGCCCGGCCCAGCCUGAGCCAGGGCUCCCCCAGCCUCCAUCCCCUGCCCGGGAGCCGCUGGGGUCCGGCCCGGCCUCCCCCAGGCCGUACAGGCCGCGGGGAAGUGGGGCUGGCCCCACCAGAGCUGCAUUACCUUUCGAGGCUGGAACAAAAAAGGAGAGAGUUCCUAGGCUUGUGUUUUUAAAAUGCGGAUCUCACAGAGAAUACAGUCUAUCACCGACAAAGAGAAGCCUGACUUCAUUAACUAUGAACACUGCACACCCCCUCUAUGACAACAAACUCAAAUUACAGGAAGGACGCCAAAUACAGUUUAUAUGAGGAAGAAGAGAAACCAGGUCCCCUUGUCAGAACUGAGUCUACUGAACUACUUCAAACUGGUUGGUAAGGGCCAAACUCCUAUGACUGUUGCAGGAAGAUUAAAGGUAGUUUUGAAAUCCUCUCUGUCCUCUGUCAUCAACUCUGCUGGGAAUAUUUUUGAUAUUCCAAAACAAAGGAAAACUUAUUUUCGUUUUCUCAGUGAAAAGGUAGCAAUUGUUGUGGCCUUUGCCAGUUUAUCAGAGAUUAAAUCAUGACUUGAGUAUAGUGAAGAUCAGCAAACAUCAGCUAAAAAUGUAUACUCUGCACAUCUUAGGAUUUGACUUCAUUUCAUUUCAUUAACUUGUUGCCAAAAAUGUGGUAAAGUGAGCAAGAAGCCCAAACCCUCCACUAAGUUAAAGCAGCUUUAACUUUGGAAUACCUGAUCUGGACCUUCAUCAAUUCUGAGCCCUGCUUCAGUACUGAGUACUAAACCACAUGAUAAUAUUUUGAAUCUUGGGCAUAAAUUCAAAUUCUUAUGUGACAUCACCUUUGUAACUUAGUUGAACCUCCUGAGAGCAAUGGGCAUAUUUGCUUUCCCUUCCUUAUGUUUUUGCUGUAUGUUUGUGAAUUUCUUUCCUCAGCUGAAAGUAUAUGUUCAUAGUUCCAAGAGAGUUACUGCCCAGAAAUAACUGGUUUUAAAGGAUUAAGAAUCCAAAUAUAGUGUGGUAAAUAAAGAACAAAGGUGACCCUUGUGUAGGCUUCACCUUUCUUACAACAAUA
Long non-coding RNA from Cyanistes caeruleus (blue tit), 1190 nucleotides. RefSeq lists it as uncharacterized. NCBI's taxonomy places the organism in Eukaryota, Metazoa, Chordata, Aves, Passeriformes, Paridae. The record is from RefSeq and is a predicted model, not a curated record.